This is a long non-coding RNA of Oncorhynchus tshawytscha (Chinook salmon), 1782 nucleotides long. Lineage: Eukaryota; Metazoa; Chordata; Actinopteri; Salmoniformes; Salmonidae. The record is from Ensembl.
GUCAGUAAAAUGUUUAGCCAUGGACAUUUAUUGAUGUGUCAAGGAUGACAAGUGCAGUACAACAAGUGCAGACCAGGUUCACAUACUGUUAACCAGGCAACAAACCUGGUUAACAGGUUUGCUGCCUACUGUCCCUUUGCUAGGGCCUACAGAUAUAGGAUCUUAAUUUGAUCACCCUGUUGCAGGAAAAGUAAAACUUGUAGUGUCAUUGAGGUUUAAAAAGGCUGCUGAAGUUUGUAAUUUCCUCUGAAAUUUCAGACUUGAUUUUCCCUUACGGAAAAUGUAUCAACCCCUACAAAAUGGCCAUUAAUUAUAAUCCACAUAAUAGUUCACAUUUCCUGUUGCUGCAGGAUUAUUUUCCUGCUGUAGCAAACUGUCUCAAAUUAAGAUCCUACAUCUGUACAUCUGUUUUAUUCUCCCAAAUGCUUGUUGAAAUAUGUAAUGGUAUUUCAACAAAGAUUUUAUGAAAACAGCAUUUGGAUUAUACUCAGUCUCUCGAAUGAUUAAAGACAGGAUAUUCUCAAGAAAAUGGACUAAUACACUGCAUUCUAUCUAGAAAUUCAAAUCUAUAUCAGUACAUGCUACCUACACCGAUAACCAAAUGAGGUCGUUUCAGAGAUCUUACCUAUCAAACACAAGAACAUUAAUAGUACACUGAAUACAAAUACAUACGGUAUGUUUACAUACUGUACAUCACAAUUACCACUAUAGAAAUCCAUAUUCCCUGACAUUUCUGAGUUGCAGCUAGUGAAUUGUUCUGAAGUCCCUGGGAUAUUGUGUUUGUUAUGUCCCUGUGUAGGGAGGCCUCAUAGGGAGAAGUGGAGAUGGCUGUGUGGAGCCCUGGUGUGAUGGAACAGACCUGGUAGCGUCCCGGCAGCUCCCCGGCAGAGCUGUCACUUCCCUCCCCUGUUACAGGUGCUCCACACAGGGGAACUGGCAGCCCUGACGGACGCCUCCUCCCAAGGAUUUAUGGGAAAUGACAGCUCCAGCUAAAUAAAGCCAGAGAGUGGCGAGGGAGGGAAGGACACGGAACUUCCAAACGACCAGCACACAGGGGCUGACACUAUCUGGAAUUUAUUUCCCAAGCUCUGACUGGCAAUUUAGUUCCAAAAUGUGCUAUUCGUACUGUAGGCCUUAGAAACAGAGCAGAGUGGAGCCCCCAGCCCCGGCCUUCUCCUACACACCUCUGUGUUUGUAGGUAAUGGUCUACCAGGUCUUUUUUCCUCUGUGUUUGUGGGUAAUGUUCUACCAGGUCUCUUUUCCUCUGUGUUUGUGGGUACUGGUCUACCAAGUCUUUUUUCCUCUGUGUUUGUGGGUAAUGUUCUACCAGGUCUCUUUUCCUCGGUGUUUGUGGGUAAUGUUCUACCAGGUCUUUUUUCCUCUGUGUUUGUGGGUAAUGUUCUACCAGGUCUUUUUUCCUCUGUGUUUGUGGGUAAUGUUCUACCAGGUCUCUUUUCCUCUGUGUUUGUGGGUAAUGUUCUACCAGGUCUUUUUUCCUCUGUGUUUGUGGGUAAUGUUCUACCAGGUCUUUUUUCCUCUGUGUUUGUGGGUAGUGUUCUACCAGGUCUUUUUUCCUCUGUGUUUGUGGGUAAUGUUCUACCAGGUCUCUUUUCCUCUGUGUUUGUGGGUAAUGGUCUACCAGGUCUUUUUUCCUCUGUGUUUGUGGGUAGUGUUCUACCAAGUCUUUUUUCCUCUGUGUUUGUGGGUAAUGUUCUACCGGGUCUUUUUUCCUCUGUGUUUGUGGGUAGUGUUCUACCAGGUCUUUUUUCCUCUGUGUUUGUG